AUGUGGAUCCCCCGGGAAAUCUUAUUAAAAUGUGGAUUCUGAUUCAGGGUGGACCUGAGAUCCCCCAUUUCUAACCAGCUCUUGGGGGAUGCUGCU
RNAcentral lists this microRNA precursor (96 nucleotides) under Marmota monax (woodchuck). The record is from RNAcentral. Lineage: Eukaryota; Metazoa; Chordata; Mammalia; Rodentia; Sciuridae.